Molecule: ribosomal RNA, 750 nt
Filed under: Microbacterium sp. JDM-3-06
Lineage: Bacteria; Bacillati; Actinomycetota; Actinomycetes; Micrococcales; Microbacteriaceae
Description: bacterial SSU rRNA
Rfam family: Bacterial small subunit ribosomal RNA
Source: RNAcentral
AUGCAGUCGAACGGUGAACACGGAGCUUGCUCUGUGGGAUCAGUGGCGAACGGGUGAGUAACACGUGAGCAACCUGCCCCUGACUCUGGGAUAAGCGCUGGAAACGGCGUCUAAUACUGGAUAUGUGACGUGACCGCAUGGUCUGCGUUUGGAAAGAUUUUUCGGUUGGGGAUGGGCUCGCGGCCUAUCAGCUUGUUGGUGAGGUAAUGGCUCACCAAGGCGUCGACGGGUAGCCGGCCUGAGAGGGUGACCGGCCACACUGGGACUGAGACACGGCCCAGACUCCUACGGGAGGCAGCAGUGGGGAAUAUUGCACAAUGGGCGGAAGCCUGAUGCAGCAACGCCGCGUGAGGGAUGACGGCCUUCGGGUUGUAAACCUCUUUUAGCAGGGAAGAAGCGAAAGUGACGGUACCUGCAGAAAAAGCGCCGGCUAACUACGUGCCAGCAGCCGCGGUAAUACGUAGGGCGCAAGCGUUAUCCGGAAUUAUUGGGCGUAAAGAGCUCGUAGGCGGUUUGUCGCGUCUGCUGUGAAAUCCCGAGGCUCAACCUCGGGCCUGCAGUGGGUACGGGCAGACUAGAGUGCGGUAGGGGAGAUUGGAAUUCCUGGUGUAGCGGUGGAAUGCGCAGAUAUCAGGAGGAACACCGAUGGCGAAGGCAGAUCUCUGGGCCGUAACUGACGCUGAGGAGCGAAAGGGUGGGGAGCAAACAGGCUUAGAUACCCUGGUAGUCCACCCCGUAAACGUUGGGAAC